GAUGAAGAACGUAGCGAAAUGCGAUAAGUAAUGUGAAUUGCAGAAUUCAGUGAAUCAUCGAAUCUUUGAACGCACAUUGCGCCCCUUGGUAUUCCGAGGGGCAUGCCUGUUCGAGCGUCAUUAUAACCCCUCAAGCUCAGCUUGGUGUUGGGGCCUGCUGCACUGGCAGCCCUUAAAAUCAGUGGCGGCGCCAUCUGGCUCUAAGCGUAGUAAUUCUUCUCGCUAUGGAGUCCUGGUGGAUGCUUGCCAUCAACCCCCAAUUUUUUUCAGGUUGACCUCGGAUCAGGUAGGGAUACCCGCUGAACUUAAGCAUAUCAAUAAGCGGUGGA
RNAcentral lists this unclassified non-coding RNA (329 nucleotides) under soil metagenome. RNAcentral describes it as "partial contains 5.8S ribosomal RNA, internal transcribed spacer 2, and large subunit ribosomal RNA". The stretch from base 1 to 120 matches the Rfam family "5.8S ribosomal RNA", at positions 35 to 154 of the family's 154-position model. The record is from RNAcentral.